GAUGAACGCUGGCGGCGUGCCUAAUACAUGCAAGUCGAGCGAACAGAUAAGGAGCUUGCUCCUUUGACGUUAGCGGCGGACGGGUGAGUAACACGUGGAUAACCUACCUAUAAGACUGGGAUAACUUCGGGAAACCGGAGCUAAUACCGGAUAACAUAUUGAACCGCAUGGUUCAAUAGUGAAAGGCGGCUUUGCUGUCACUUAUAGAUGGAUCCGCGCCGUAUUAGCUAGUUGGUAAGGUAACGGCUUACCAAGGCAACGAUACGUAGCCGACCUGAGAGGGGGAGCGCCCAAACGGGAACGGAACAACGGUCCAGAUCCCAACGGAGGCCACCAUAGGGAAACUUCCGGAAAGGGCGAAAGCCUGACGGAGCAACGCCGCGUGAGUGAUGAAGGUCUUCGGAUCGUAAAACUCUGUUAUCAGGGAAGAACAAAUGUGUAAGUAACUGUGCACAUCUUGACGGUACCUGAUCAGAAAGCCACGGCUAACUACGUG
This 496-nucleotide ribosomal RNA is filed under the name uncultured bacterium. Its description in RNAcentral is "partial 16S ribosomal RNA". It matches the Rfam family "Bacterial small subunit ribosomal RNA", at positions 28 to 507 of the family's 1533-position model. The record is from RNAcentral.